GCGGAAGUGACGGUGAUCCGCUGGCAAUGGCGGGUUCUUUGGCCUGCGCUAAGAGGGUGAGGUGUAGUGGGCUCUUCGUGUUUCUGGAGAAGUUAUUUUAAUAAAGGCUCGAGAACUCUGUUCUGUCACCAUGGACACGGGAUGUCGUUUAGACACUUAUUGUUUUGGGGGUCUCCUUUUCCUGCUCGAAAUAUGAGGUUUCUCUUGGCGUUUUAGCUUUGUGCCAUAGCUACAGCCUCUGACUAGUGCCCACACUGGAGCAAAGAGGUACAUGGAGAGUUUCUUGCCUUUUGGGAAGUCUGAGGUCUUCUGCCAGCGUUCUGUAGGAGUUGUUCCACACGUCGAUGUAUUUUUGAUGUAUUUGUGUGGAGGAAGGUGAUCUCCACGUCUUACUCCUCUGCCAUCUUGAAGGUCCCCUCCUAUUGUUAUUGAAAGGGAAAAAAACUCUACCAAUCGGUACAGCAGUUCACAGGCAGAGCUAUUCAGAAUAAAGGAAUGGGUGCUGUUAACGUUGAUGUCAAUAUGAUACUUGGAUGGCAUUUGGCAAGACGACUCCGGAGUAUCCAAAUCCUUCCCUGUCUUGGUCAUUCUUCCUUGAGAAUGCCUCAAAGAAAGCGUGUGUGCAGGAUACAUUGACCAGCAGAGCAUAGUGACAUCACAUUGGAAUGACUUCUGGGACUUCUUUCCCAAACUCAAAGCAGAGCCAGUGGGAGUCAACCAGAGUUCCACAAAAGUUCCCUCAUUUGUAUCUACUGGAAUGGCUUCAGUGGUGUGGAAGCAAAGAAGGCCGAAAGUCUUGUUCUGACCAUUUCUACCACGAUAUCCAUUUCACAUUUGGAUCUUACUAUCUCAUGUGGUGAAAAUUCACUCACCAGUGCCAAGGUGUGAGACAUAAGGACAGCUGAAGACAGAGAGUCUGUCCCAAUGUCUUAAUGUGCCCUGCCUGGGCCCUCUUGAUUUAGCUGCCUUGUGGAAGAGAAAGAGCAGAUGAAGAGAUAAAGAAAGAGAAAGGAGAGAAGAGAGAGAGAGGACCAAGCUUUCCCUUGGGGAGAACAGGUCCUAAGCUUAGCCUUACUUCGUCAGGUCAGAGAGUCCAGACAGACAAAAAUGGAAGAGUUAGGCAUCAUUUUUCUUCCCUUAUUACCAUCGUAACAUCUUAGGAGGAAGAGAACUGGAAGGGUAAGACUUCACACAGUGUGUGACCUUGACCUCUAUAAACAGUACACUGAUCUAAUUCAGAGACCAGAGUCUGAUCAUCCAGAUCAACAAUGGGUUGAGUUGGGCUUUGGGGGACAGCAGGAGUGAAUAAAACCGAGAAUUCCUCAGAGAGGCCAGCAGGACCGUUAUUUUGAUGUCAGCCUUUGAAGUGGUCACUGUGCCUAAUUCAAAAUUUCGAGGUCUCAGGUCCUCAUGUUUUAGUGAAGAGCAAGUCUAAAUUAUACUUGCUGUGUAAAAAUUUUACUGAUGGCCCUGGUAUUGCCUUAUCGUCUCAACUGCUGAGGCACUUUUUG
Long non-coding RNA from Eubalaena glacialis (North Atlantic right whale), 1511 nucleotides. RefSeq lists it as uncharacterized. The record is from RefSeq and is a predicted model, not a curated record. NCBI's taxonomy places the organism in Eukaryota, Metazoa, Chordata, Mammalia, Artiodactyla, Balaenidae. The transcript is spliced from 4 exons.